GCUAUUGACAUAGUUGCACAGGCACUUUGUUGACUCUAGAGAACCUCGGGCCAAUCACACAUCCCCGUGACGGCGACUUUGCAUUCGGAUGUCAUUCAUCAACUUUCGAUGCCAGUUUCUGCGCCUACCCUAGUGACCACGGGUAACGGGGAAUCAGGGUUCCAUUCCGUACAGAAACCCUGAGAAACGGCUACCACAUGCAAGGAUGGCAGCAGGCCCGCAAAUGACCCACUCCUCACGUGGAAAGGUAGUGAUGACAAAUAACAAUACAGGACUAUUUAGAGGCCCUGUAAUUGUAAUGAGU
This 304-nucleotide ribosomal RNA is filed under the name Pelobates cultripes (western spadefoot toad). It matches the Rfam family "Eukaryotic small subunit ribosomal RNA", at positions 215 to 519 of the family's 1831-position model. The record is from RNAcentral. Lineage: Eukaryota; Metazoa; Chordata; Amphibia; Anura; Pelobatidae.